CCUACGGGUGGCAGCAGUGGGGAAUAUUGGACAAUGGGGGCAACCCUGAUCCAGCCAUGCCGCGUGUGUGAAGAAGGCCCUCGGGUUGUAAAGCACUUUCAGUGAGGAAGAACGCCUGGUGGUUAAUACCCAUCAGGAAAGACAUCACUCACAGAAGAAGCACCGGCUAACUCCGUGCCAGCAGCCGCGGUAAUACGGAGGGUGCGAGCGUUAAUCGGAAUUACUGGGCGUAAAGCGCGCGUAGGUGGCUUGAUAAGCCGGUUGUGAAAGCCCCGGGCUCAACCUGGGAACGGCAUCCGGAACUGUCAAGCUAGAGUGCAGGAGAGGAAGGUAGAAUUCCCGGUGUAGCGGUGAAAUGCGUAGAGAUCGGGAGGAAUACCAGUGGCGAAGGCGGCCUUCUGGACUGACAUUGACACUGAGGUGCGAAAGCGUGGGUAGCAAACAGGAUUAGAUACCCCUGUAGUC
This 465-nucleotide ribosomal RNA is filed under the name Vreelandella stevensii. Its description in RNAcentral is "partial 16S ribosomal RNA". It matches the Rfam family "Bacterial small subunit ribosomal RNA", at positions 338 to 795 of the family's 1533-position model. Lineage: Bacteria; Pseudomonadati; Pseudomonadota; Gammaproteobacteria; Oceanospirillales; Halomonadaceae. The record is from RNAcentral.